UGACUAUAUCACAUUGAAACACCAAUUCCCAUACAAUCACCAAAGUUAAGCAAUGUCGAGCCUGGUUAGUACCUAGAUGGGCAACUGCUUGGGAAUACCAGGUGUUGUAAG
Acanthosepion pharaonis is the source of this 111-nucleotide non-coding RNA. The record is from the annotation of a GenBank genome assembly. Lineage: Eukaryota; Metazoa; Mollusca; Cephalopoda; Sepiida; Sepiidae.